RNAcentral lists this ribosomal RNA (429 nucleotides) under Actinomycetes bacterium. RNAcentral describes it as "Actinobacteria bacterium partial 16S ribosomal RNA". It matches the Rfam family "Bacterial small subunit ribosomal RNA", at positions 355 to 776 of the family's 1533-position model. The record is from RNAcentral. Lineage: Bacteria; Bacillati; Actinomycetota; Actinomycetes.
UAGGGAAUCUUCCGCAAUGGGCGAAAGCCUGACGGAGCAACGCCGCGUGAGUGAUGAAGGUCUUCGGAUCGUAAAACUCUGUUAUUAGGGAAGAACAAAUGUGUAAGUAACUAUGCACGUCUUGACGGUACCUAAUCAGAAAGCCACGGCUAACUACGUGCCAGCAGCCGCGGUAAUACGUAGGUGGCAAGCGUUAUCCGGAAUUAUUGGGCGUAAAGCGCGCGUAGGCGGUUUUUUAAGUCUGAUGUGAAAGCCCACGGCUCAACCGUGGAGGGUCAUUGGAAACUGGAAAACUUGAGUGCAGAAGAGGAAAGUGGAAUUCCAUGUGUAGCGGUGAAAUGCGCAGCGAUCUGGAGGAACACCAGUGGCGAAGGCGACUUUCUGGUCUGUAACUGACGCUGAUGUGCGAAAGCGUGGGGAUCAAACAGG